GACGAACGCUGGCGGCGUGCCUAAUACAUGCAAGUAGGACGCAGUUGCGAACGGGUGAGUAACGCGUAGGUAACUGCCUAUUAGAGGGGGAUAACUAUUGGAAACGAUAGCUAAUACCGCAUACUAGUAGAUGGACCUGCGUUGUAUUAGCUAGUAGGUAGGGUAAUGGCCUACCUAGGCGGCGUAACAUAGCCGACCUGAGAUGGGGGACGGCCACACUGGGACUGAGACACGGGCCAGACUCCUACGGGAGGCAGCAGUAGGGAAUCUGUGGUAAUUGGGGGAACCCUGACUGAGCAACGCCGCGGGAGUGAAGAAGGUUUUCGGAUCGUAAAGCUCUUUUGUUAAGGAAGCGGUACUUAACCAGAAAGGGACGGCUAACUACGUGCCAGCAGCCGCGGUAAUAC
RNAcentral lists this ribosomal RNA (407 nucleotides) under uncultured bacterium. Its description in RNAcentral is "partial 16S ribosomal RNA". It matches the Rfam family "Bacterial small subunit ribosomal RNA", at positions 28 to 526 of the family's 1533-position model. The record is from RNAcentral.